UGAAACACCGCUUCCGCUACGAUCUCCGAAGUUAAGCAACAUCGAGCCUGGUCAGUACCUAUAUGGGUGAUCGCUUGUGAAUAUCAGAUGCUGUAA
This is a non-coding RNA of Acanthosepion pharaonis, 96 nucleotides long. Lineage: Eukaryota; Metazoa; Mollusca; Cephalopoda; Sepiida; Sepiidae. The record is from the annotation of a GenBank genome assembly.